UACGUAGGCAGCAAGCGUUGUUCGGAGUUACUGGGCGUAAAGAGUGCGUAGGUGGUGCCCUAAGUCUGUUGUGAAAUCUCCCGGCUUAACUGGGAGGGUGCGGUGGAAACUGGGGUGCUUGAGUGUGGGAGAGGUAAGCGGAAUUCCUGGUGUAGCGAUGAAAUUCGUAGAUAUCGAGAAGAACACCGGUGGCGAAGGCGGCCAUCUGGACGGUGACUGACGCUGAGACGCGAAAGCGUGGGGAGCAAACAGG
Molecule: ribosomal RNA, 253 nt
Filed under: uncultured bacterium
Lineage: Bacteria
Description: partial 16S ribosomal RNA
Rfam family: Bacterial small subunit ribosomal RNA
Source: RNAcentral